This 1386-nucleotide ribosomal RNA is filed under the name Triticum aestivum (bread wheat). Its description in RNAcentral is "partial small subunit ribosomal RNA". The record is from RNAcentral. Lineage: Eukaryota; Viridiplantae; Streptophyta; Magnoliopsida; Poales; Poaceae.
AUGAGCAGAGAUGGAGGCAGCGGUGACGAUAAUGCGAACCCCGACCUCAUCAGCCGCCUUCCCGAAGAGAUCCUCGACAGCAUCCUCUCCCUCCUCCCUACCACCAAGGGCGCCGCGCAGACAUCUGUUCUAUUUUCCAGGUGGCGCCACCUUUGGCGCACUGCCCCGCUCAACCUUGUCAUCGACCAAGGCCCCAUCAGCCAGGAGAGCAAGCGCAUCACCAUCGUCUCCAAGAUCCUUGCCGCGCACUCUGGUCCUGCCCGCCGUCUCUUCUUCAACCAACCCGGUGGCAUCUGCCUCCGCCGUGAGUUCUAUGCCAAGUUCGACAGCUGGUUCCGGUCCCCUUCCCUCAAUGGCCUUGAGGAGCUCUACUUGUAUGGAGGCGACAUGUUGCCGUGCCUGCUGCCAUCAUCCGCACUCCGCUUCGCACCAACGCUGUGCAUCGCCAGCAUCGGCCACUGCGAUUUUGCCUUGAUUAAUGAUGCCCUUGCACUUAGCUUCCCUCGGCUGAAGCAGCUCAAGCUCUAUCAUGUCUCCAUCUCGGAGGUGACCCUCCACCACCUGCUUGCCGGCUGCACUAUGAUACAGAGCCUUGAUCUUCGAUGGAUCCAUGGGCCCAGCAGCAUCCGGAUCAUCUCGCCGACUGUCCGAAGUAUUGGCAUAUCUGUUUGUGACUACUACGAUGAAAAGCUUGUGUUCCCGGAACUUGUUAUUGAGGAUGCACCAUGCCUUGAAAGAUUGAUCCCACAUGGUUUAAGGGGUGGUCCAAGGACAAUCAGGGUCAUCGCGGCGCCAAAACUGGCAGUGUUGGGCUACCUGUCUAGGCUAAUCUCCGAACUUGUUAUUGGAACCAUAAGUGUUAAGGAAAUGAUCCCUAUCAUGUUCACCACGACGGUACGCACAGUAAAGGUCUUGGUUCUACAAUCUGUCGGCCCUAAUCUGGAUGCAAUUGUCUCAUUCCUUAGAUGCUUUCCCUGCAUGGAGAAGCUGUACAUUCAGUCACGUCCUAGAAAGGACAUGACAAAUGUGCAGCAAUAUGACACACUUGUUGAUCCUAUCGAAUGCCUUGACCUCCAUCUCAGAGCAAUCGUAGUGAACAUGUAUCAAGGCUUGGGGCCAGAUGUUAACUUUGCAAAGUUCUUUGUUCUGAAUGCAAAGGUGCUCAAGGUAAUGAAAUUUGGUGUGUAUGGUAGUAACUGCAAUGAGCAAUGGAUAGCUGAUCAGCACAGAGAGCUACAACUGGAUAGCAGGGCUUCUGGAGAUGCUCGGUUUGAUUUUGUGAGAUAUAAUGGCGAGUGCACGUUUUCCAAUAUGAAGCACACGCAUGAUAUGUGGAUAGCUGACCCCUUUGAUAGCUCACUGUGUAAAUGUUGUUCACCAGUUUGA